GCCAGACUCCUACGGGAGGCAGCAGUGGGGGAUAUUGCACAAUGGGGGAAACCCUGAUGCAGCAACGCCGCGUGAGUGAAGAAGUAUUUCGGUAUGUAAAGCUCUCUCAGCAGGGAAGAGAAUGACGGUACCUGACUAAGAAGCCCCGGCUAACUACGUGCCAGCAGCCGCGGUAAUACGUAGGGGGCGAGCGUUAUCCGGAUUUACUGGGGGUAAAGGGAGCGCAGGCGGCACGGCAAGCCUGAUGUGAAAGCCCGCGGCCCAACCGCGGGACUGCUCUUGGAACUGCGUGGCUGGAGUGCAGGAGGGGCAGGCGGAAUUCCUGGUGUAGCGGUGAAAUGCGUAGAUAUCAGGAGGAACACCGGUGGCGAAGGCGGCCUGCUGGACUGCAACUGACGUUGAGGCCCGAAAGCGUGGGGAGCAAACAGGAUUAGAUACCCCAGUAAA
This 447-nucleotide ribosomal RNA is filed under the name uncultured bacterium. RNAcentral describes it as "bacterial SSU rRNA". It matches the Rfam family "Bacterial small subunit ribosomal RNA", at positions 330 to 794 of the family's 1533-position model. The record is from RNAcentral.